UACGAAGGGGACUAGCGUUGUUUGGAAUCACUGGGCGUAAAGCGCACGUAGGCGGAUUUGUAAGUCAGGGGUGAAAUCCCGGGGCUCAACCUCGGAACUGCCUUUGAUACUGCGAAUCUUGAGUCCGAUAGAGGUGGGUGGAAUUCCUAGUGUAGAGGUGAAAUUCGUAGAUAUUCGGAAGAACACCAGUGGCGAAGGCGACUUACUGGACACGUAUUGACGCUGAGGUGCGAAAGCGUGGGGAGCAAACAGG
RNAcentral lists this ribosomal RNA (253 nucleotides) under uncultured bacterium. Its description in RNAcentral is "partial 16S ribosomal RNA". It matches the Rfam family "Bacterial small subunit ribosomal RNA", at positions 524 to 776 of the family's 1533-position model. The record is from RNAcentral.